UGUAAUGAUAGUAGCAAUACGUUUAAACACAUUUCAAUUACCCUCCCUAAAAAAUAAGUUUAUUUUAGUACAAUGUCCGCCAUGUUGGAAUUUACCGGAAGUAGGAUUUUUGCAGACAUCUAAACAAUAUAAUAUAUCCAAAAGUAGUACAAAACAAAGAUUUGUACCAAAUAUUAUGGUUGUAGCAUGAUAAUAACACCUUUUCAAAUACUAGCCUUUGAUAUUGGGCUGAUUUAAGUAUGAAGUCCGCCAUUUUGGAUUUUACCGGAAGUG
RNAcentral lists this long non-coding RNA (273 nucleotides) under Mytilus galloprovincialis (Mediterranean mussel). Lineage: Eukaryota; Metazoa; Mollusca; Bivalvia; Mytilida; Mytilidae. The record is from RNAcentral.